CACGCCCUAAACGAUGUCAACUAGUUGUUGGGAGCCUUACCGCUCUUAGUAACGCAGCUAACGCGUGAAGUUGACCGCCUGGGGAGUACGGUCGCAAGAUUAAAACUCAAAGGAAUUGACGGGGGCCCGCACAAGCGGUGGAUGAUGUGGAUUAAUUCGAUGCAACGCGAAAAACCUUACCUACCCUUGACAUGUCAGGAAGUCCGCAGAGACGUGGAUGUGCUCGAAAGAGAACCUGAACACAGGUGC
This 249-nucleotide ribosomal RNA is filed under the name uncultured bacterium. RNAcentral's name for it is "partial 16S ribosomal RNA". It matches the Rfam family "Bacterial small subunit ribosomal RNA", at positions 796 to 1041 of the family's 1533-position model. The record is from RNAcentral.